AGAAGAUGGAAGAUGGCAACUCCGUUUUCACUUUGGAUCACCCUGGUCCUUUCUACUUCAUUAGUGGCAACAAAGAUAAUUGCAACAAAGGACAAAAGGUGCAAAUUAUUGUAAUAUCUCCUAGAGGUAAAACUCCUACUACCCCUUCUUCACCCACAACUCCGUCUCCUUCUGGUUCCGCCACCCCUCCGUCUCCUUCUGGUGGUUCCGCCACCCCUCCGUCUCCUUCUGGCGGUUCAGCCACCCCUCCGUCUCCUUCUGGCGGUUCCGCCACCCCUCCAACUCCUUCUGGGGGUUCCAUCACUCCUCCGGCGGCUGGUUCGCCUAAAGGAUCAUCUACACCAUCACCAGCGGGAUCACCGCCAUCUCCUUCUGCAGGUAAACAUCACAAUAUCAAUUUGAUUGGUUUAAGUAUUAGGUUCUUUGCAUUGUACGCUUUAAAAUUAUGAGUUCAAAAUUUAAUAUUUAUUGAAAUUUUAAUGAUUUUUCGCGUGUGUACUACUAUGCAGGUUCUACUACCCCACCACCCGCAACUUCAGCACCUUCAGCCACCACUCCGGCAGGUGCUCCGUCUAAAGGAUCGACCACACCCGGUACAUCAUCACCCAAUGGGGCACCAGUAGUAUCUCCACCAGCAGGUAAAUAGAAGCGGUUUAGAAUUUAAAUUUAAGAAGUUUCGUGAUUUUUUACACACACACUUAUAUAUACUCAGUAAAAUAAAUUUUAGUUAUAUAUAUAAAUAUUACAUUCGCCUCAGCAGGUAAAUCACCAACCUCAUCUCCUGCACCUGCUGGUUCAAUCGUAUCUCCGGCAACUAAUGCUCCGGUGCCGGCAACAAGUUCUAUGACUCCAACCGGAUCUCCGGCACCGACAGGAGGAGCUUCUGAUUUAUCGCCUUCACCAUCAUCAAGCUCAUUAGCACCAGGUUCAUCUGCUCUUUCGCCGGGAGGUAUUGCACCAGCCGGAGGACCAACUUCAUCAAUGGCGCCGGGAAGUAUGGCUCCGGGCGCCGGCGCCGGUAGCACUCCGGCGGACAUUAAUUCGCCAGCUGGCGCACCAUCCAACCCAAAUUCAUUUGCAGUAAAGGCAUUUACUCCAUCAGUUGUCCUUUUGUCAACCGUUUCACUCAUCUUGACCAUGGCUUUUGGAGAAUUUAUUAUUUCACCUUAGGGUAAAAAAAAUUUAGUAGAAUUACUGUGAAAACUUCGUUCUCUAUCUUCUGGUUAUUUUUAUUUGGGUUUUUCUUUUUUUGUCUCCUAUUGUUUUUAUUUCUUUAAUAAUUCAGAGAUUGGAGAUGUGUUUAGUUGUUUUUUCUUUUUAUUUUUUUGUGGGUGACAAAUUGAAUUUAUAUAUGCGAGUAUGUAUGAACUUAAUUCUAGUCAUUUUUUUUUCGGCAAUGUAUUUGUCUUUCACAUAUAAAAGAUAAUUCAUUUUAUAUCACAUAACAAAUAAAUGUUAUUUAUGAGCCA
RNAcentral lists this long non-coding RNA (1469 nucleotides) under Nicotiana tabacum (common tobacco). RNAcentral describes it as "long non-coding RNA (NTAB_LNC006024)". Lineage: Eukaryota; Viridiplantae; Streptophyta; Magnoliopsida; Solanales; Solanaceae. The record is from RNAcentral.